CGCUGGCGGCAGGCCUAACACAUGCAAGUCGAACGGUAGCACAGAGGAGCUUGCUCCUUGGGUGACGAGUGGCGGACGGGUGAGUAAUGUCUGGGAAACUGCCCGAUGGAGGGGGAUAACUACUGGAAACGGUAGCUAAUACCGCAUAACGUCGCAAGACCAAAGAGGGGGACCUUCGGGCCUCUUGCCAUCGGAUGUGCCCAGAUGGGAUUAGCUAGUAGGUGGGGUAACGGCUCACCUAGGCGACGAUCCCUAGCUGGUCUGAGAGGAUGACCAGCCACACUGGAACUGAGACACGGUCCAGACUCCUACGGGAGGCAGCAGUGGGGAAUAUUGCACAAUGGGCGCAAGCCUGAUGCAGCCAUGCCGCGUGUAUGAAGAAGGCCUUCGGGUUGUAAAGUACUUUCAGCGAGGAGGAAGGCGUUGUGGUUAAUAACCGCAACGAUUGACGUUACUCGCAGAAGAAGCACCGGCUAACUCCGUGCCAGCAGCCGCGGUAAAAGGG
Molecule: ribosomal RNA, 505 nt
Filed under: uncultured Enterobacterales bacterium
Lineage: Bacteria; Pseudomonadati; Pseudomonadota; Gammaproteobacteria; Enterobacterales
Description: bacterial SSU rRNA
Rfam family: Bacterial small subunit ribosomal RNA
Source: RNAcentral